Molecule: ribosomal RNA, 253 nt
Filed under: uncultured bacterium
Lineage: Bacteria
Description: partial 16S ribosomal RNA
Rfam family: Bacterial small subunit ribosomal RNA
Source: RNAcentral
UACGUAGGGGGCAAGCGUUGUCCGGAAUCAUUGGGCGUAAAGCGCGUGUAGGCGGCCUUGUAAGUCCGUUCUGAAAGCCCGGGGCUCAACCCCGGGAGGCGGAUGGAUACUGCAAGGCUCGAGUACGGAAGAGGCGAGUGGAAUUCCCGGUGUAGCGGUGAAAUGCGCAGAUAUCGGGAGGAACACCAAUGGCGAAGGCAGGUCUCUGGGCAUUAACUGACGCUGAGGAGCGAAAGCAUGGGGAGCGAACAGG